GGAAAGACCCCGUGAACCUUUACUAUAGCUUGACACUGAACAUUGAGCCUUGAUGUGUAGGAUAGGUGGGAGGCUUUGAAGUGUGGACGCCAGUCUGCAUGGAGCCGACCUUGAAAUACCACCCUUUAAUGUUUGAUGUUCUAACGUUGGCCCCUAAUCGGGGUUGCGGACAGUGUCUGGUGGGUAGUUUGACUGGGGCGGUCUCCUCCUAAAGAGUAACGGAGGAGCACGAAGGUUGGCUAAUCCUGGUCGGACAUCAGGAGGUUAGUGCAAUGGCAUAAGCCAGCUUGACUGCGAGCGUGACGGCGCGAGCAGGUGCGAAAGCAGGUCAUAGUGAUCCGGUGGUUCUGAAUGGAAGGGCCAUCGCUCAACGGAUAAAAGGUACUCCGGGGAUAACAGGCUGAUACCGCCCAAGAGUUCAUAUCGACGGCGGUGUUUGGCACCUCGAUGUCGGCUCAUCACAUCCUGGGGCUGAAGUAGGUCCCAAGGGUAUGGCUGUUCGCCAUUUAAAGUGGUACGCGAGCUGGGUUUAGAACGUCGUGAGACAGUUCGGUCCCUAUCUGCCGUGGGCGCUGGAGAACUGAGGGGGGCUGCUCCUAGUACGAGAGGACCGGAGUGGACGCAUCACUGGUGUUCGGGUUGUCAUGCCAAUGGCACUGCCCGGUAGCUAAAUGCGGAAGAGAUAAGUGCUGAAAGCAUCUAAGCACGAAACUUGCCCCGAGAUGAGUUCUCCCUGACUCCCUGAGAG
RNAcentral lists this ribosomal RNA (748 nucleotides) under Escherichia coli. RNAcentral describes it as "partial 23S ribosomal RNA". It matches the Rfam family "Bacterial large subunit ribosomal RNA", at positions 2082 to 2825 of the family's 2925-position model. The record is from RNAcentral. Lineage: Bacteria; Pseudomonadati; Pseudomonadota; Gammaproteobacteria; Enterobacterales; Enterobacteriaceae.